GGGUCAGUAGGUUGGUCGUGCCACCGGUACGUACUGGUCUCACUGAUUCCUCCUUCCUGAAGAACCGUAAUGCCAUUAAUUUGGUGUUGCGGGGAAACAGGACUGUUACUUUGAAAAAAUUAGAGUGUUUAAAGCAAGCUAACGCUCGAAUACAUUAGCAUGGAAUAAUGAAAUAGGACGAUCGACCCUAUUUUGUUGGUUUCUAGGAUUGACGUA
Molecule: ribosomal RNA, 216 nt
Filed under: Glomeromycotina sp.
Lineage: Eukaryota; Fungi; Glomeromycota
Description: partial small subunit ribosomal RNA
Rfam family: Eukaryotic small subunit ribosomal RNA (bases 44-216)
Source: RNAcentral